CAGCAGCCGCGGUAAUACGUAGGGUGCGAGCGUUAAUCGGAAUUACUGGGCGUAAAGCGUGCGCAGGCGGUUUGUUAAGACAGAUGUGAAAUCCCCGGGCUUAACCUGGGAACUGCAUUUGUGACUGGCAAGCUAGAGUAUGGCAGAGGGGGGUGGAAUUCCGCGUGUAGCAGUGAAAUGCGUAGAUAUGCGGAGGAACACCGAUGGCGAAGGCAGCCCCCUGGGCCAAUACUGACGCUCAUGCACGAAAGCGUGGGGAGCAAACAGGAUUAGAUACCCCUGUAGUCCCUGUCUCUUAUAC
Molecule: ribosomal RNA, 301 nt
Filed under: uncultured bacterium
Lineage: Bacteria
Description: partial 16S ribosomal RNA
Rfam family: Bacterial small subunit ribosomal RNA
Source: RNAcentral